Molecule: RNA transcript, 3827 nt
Organism: Brienomyrus brachyistius
Lineage: Eukaryota; Metazoa; Chordata; Actinopteri; Osteoglossiformes; Mormyridae
Gene name: frizzled-3-like
Exons: 6
Source: RefSeq, a predicted model, not a curated record
CACCCCCCGACCCCUGUGGCGGUGGUGCGCGCCCCCGUCUCACGCGCGUCCCCGCCCCAGUCGUAUGAACCUGCCGAGACUCGGACUGCGAACAGCCUGGGAUCCGCAAUUAGGCAGAAACAUGGCAACGAGCGCCGCACGCCUGCUGCUGUCUCUACCCAAGGUCUCCCUGUCCUCUGUAAGCUGGUUAACGUCCCUGUGAGAUAUUUUGUCAGCGGGGGAGGCGGGGAGUCUUACGGAGACCUGAUAGAAGCAGCCUGCCGUGGGAAUGUGGAGUGUAGCGCUACAAAGCUGACGCCGGACACGGCUCGUGCACGAGGACGGCCGGCCACUGCACUACCUGUCCGGAAUAGGAUAUUUUUUUUACCCAAGCCCCCCCAGAGCCACGAUGUACUGUGCAGACUCCAUGGGUGCAGUAGAUAUACGCGUACGAAGGAACCCCAUCGCUCUCACUUAAUGCUCCCUUCCUGAUCCAGCCCACCGGCUGCUCUUUCUGAGACUGACGCUCGUAAAGUUCGCUAUGGACCAGUUUGCUGCCCCCGUGCGUGAAAGGCGUCGCGGUUUGGCUACUCUUUGGGUCGUGGCCUCCGCGUUGACGGCGUGCGCCGCCAUCCGCGCCGACUCGGCGGACAGCCACAGCAUGUUUGCCUGCGAGCCCAUCACCCUGCGCAUGUGCCAGGAACUACCCUACAACAGCACCUUCAUGCCCAACCUGCUGACCCACUAUGACCAGCAGACCGCUGCACUGGCCAUGGAGCCCUUCCACCCCAUGGUGAACCUGCAGUGCUCCCCGGACCUGAGGUCCUUCCUGUGUGCCCUUCACGCCCCGGUGUGCAUGGAGUACGGCCGUGUGUCACUGCCCUGCCGCAGCCUCUGUGUCCACGCCCGCCGCGACUGCCUGAAGCUGAUGGAGAUGUUUGGCGUUCCCUGGCCAGAGGAGAUGGACUGCAGCAGGUUCCCUGACUGCGACGAAUCAUACCCGCGGCCCGUGGACCUUCUCGCCAGCACCGAGCCCACGGACCAGUCGUCCAUGUCCGUGCAGCGCGAUUACGGCUUCUGGUGCCCCCGUGAACUGAAGAUGGAGCCAGAGUUGAGCUACUCCUUCUUGGGGGUGCGCGACUGCUCGCCGCCCUGCCCCAACAUGUACUUCCGGCGUGAGGAGCUCAAGUUCGCCCGCUACUUCAUUGGUGUCGUCUCCAUCUUCUGCCUGUCUGCCACCCUCUUCACCUUCCUCACCUUCCUCAUCGACGUCACCCGCUUCCGCUACCCGGAGAGGCCCAUCAUCUUCUACGCCGUGUGCUACAUGAUGGUGUCGUUGGCGUUCUUCCUGGGUUUCUUGCUGGAGGAUCGAGUGGCCUGCAAUGCCGCCAGCCCCGGGCAGUACCGGGCCUCCACCGUCACCCAGGGCUCGCACAACAAGGCCUGCACACUUCUCUUCAUGGUGCUCUACUUUUUCACCAUGGCCGGCAGUGUCUGGUGGGUCAUCCUCACCAUCACCUGGUUCCUGGCUGCCGUGCCCAAGUGGGGCAGCGAGGCCAUCGAGAAGAAGGCCCUCCUCUUCCACGCCUGCGCCUGGGGCAUUCCGGGCACACUCACCGUGACCCUGACCGCCAUGAACAAGAUCGAGGGCGACAACGUGAGCGGCGUGUGCUUCGUGGGCCUCUACGACGUGGCGGCCCUGCGCUGGUUCGUGUUGGCGCCCCUUUGCAUUGACGUGCUGCUGGGCAUGGUGCUGCUCCUGGCCGGCAUCGUGGCACUGAAUCGCGUGCGCAUGGAGAUCCCGCUGGAGAAGGAGAACCAGGACAAGCUGGUCAAGUUCAUGAUCCGCAUUGGCGUCUUCUCCGUGCUCUACCUGGUGCCCUUGCUGGUUGUCAUCGGCUGCUACUUCUAUGAGCAAAGCUACCGGGCCGUGUGGGAGACCACCUGGGUGAUGGAGCGCUGCCGCGAGUACCACAUCCCCUGCCCCUACCAGGUGGAGCAGACCAGCAGGCCGGACCUGGUGCUCUUCCUCAUGAAGUACCUCAUGACACUGGUGGUGGGUAUCCCUUCGGUCUUCUGGGUGGGCAGCAAGAAGACCUGCUUUGAGUGGGCCAGCUUCUUCCAUGGCCGCAGGAAGCACAAAGAGUGAGUCACCCUGUCGUCCUCGCGUGUCGUCACCGCGGCCUCCCAUGACACUACUCAAUGGGUUUGGGGUCUUUGCCUGUACUCUGAAGGUCGCCAGUUCGAAUCCCAGGGUCAAUAAAGUGAUUCCACCAUUGGGAGAGAUGUUACCUGGUACAUUAGGCAGAUCUUAAUUUGGCUCCGCUUCGGAUGUCAUAAGCGAGGGGGGGGCAUAUUCCUUGAGUCCUGAGUCCUAAGGCCGCAUUAUUAAGGCUCUGCCGGUCGACGCGACAGCAAAGACAGAAACCGCCCCGAGAGAGGUUCGAAGCUGCGAUCUGCCGAUCGCAAGAAUGAUGACGGGACGGACGCCCUGCGGGUAGUGCCACCCAUCCAUCCCCGACCCACCGUCCCAUUUAGGCCGCAUUAUAUAAAGGCUCUGCCGGUCGACGCGACAGCAAAGACAGAAACAGCCCCGAGAGAGGUUCGAAGCUGCGAUCUGCCGAUCGCAAGAAUGAUGACGGGACGGACGCCCUGCGGGUAGUGCCACCCAUCCAUCCCCGACCCAUUAAGGCCGCAUUAUAUAAAGGCUCUGCCGGUCGACGCGACAGCAAAGACAGAAACAGCCCGGAGAGAGGUUCGAAGCUGCGAUCUGCCGAUCGCAAGAAUGAUGACGGGACGGGCGCCCUGCGGGUAGUGCCACCCAUCCAUCCCCGACCAACUGUCCCUUUUCGGCCGUGUUAUAAGGCUCUGCCGGUCGAAUCGACAGCAAAGAGAAACAGCACUAAGCUGCGUGUUUGAGAGUCAAAAUAACGAAAAGAUCAAUGUCAAACGGGAGUGGUAAGUGGCUCAGUGGGCAAAGUCGCUGUGCUUGUGAUUGGAAAGUUGAGGUUGGUGGUUCAAGUCCGCCCUCAGCAGGAUGGUUACCGGGUGGGUCUUUGAAUGCACUGAGUGACCCUGGAGAGAGUGUGUGUGUGUGUGUGUGUGUGUGUGUGUGUGUGUGUGUGUGUGUGUGUAUGUGAGUGUGUGUGAGAGAGAGAGAGCAGGAUCAUUCAGUGUGCUUGAGGUCCUGCCCUGUAACUAUUCUGCUGAGGGCAGGCUUGAGCACACUGACCUGAUCAUAAGCACAGAGAUUAGCCACUCACCACCCCUUUUUUUUUUUUUAAGAAAAAAAAAUUGCAAAUAACUUCUGUACCACCCAUCUCCGUGUGUUACUCUGUUUCUAUGGCCCUUCCCCUAGGGUCUGCGCUGUGACUAUUCUGCCGAGGCUGGGCUUGAACCGGCAACCUUCAGAUCAUAGAUAAAGAGGCUUAGCCUGCAGCGCCACUUGCCUUCCCUGCUUGUGGGCUGUUUUUCGUAUAUGUAUUUUUUGUGUGUCGACGCGACAGCGAAGAAAGAAACUUCACUAAGCGAGGUUCGAAGCUGCGAUCUGCCGAUCGCAAGAAUGAUGACGGGACGGACGCUCUGUGGGUAGUGCCACCCAACCAACCAACCCCAACCCACUGUCCCUUGUAGGCCGCGUUAUAAGGCUCUGCCGGUUGAAUCGACAGCAAAGAGAAACAGCACUGAGUGAGGUUCGAAGCUGCGAUCUGCCGAUCGCAAGAAUGAUGACGGGACGGACGCUAUGUGGGUAGUGCCACCCAACCAACCCCGACCAACUGUCCCUUUUAGGCCGUGUUAUAAGGCUCUGCCAGUCGAAUCGACAGCAAAGAGAAACAGCACUGAGUGAG